Heterocephalus glaber (naked mole-rat) is the source of this 8622-nucleotide long non-coding RNA. The record is from Ensembl. Lineage: Eukaryota; Metazoa; Chordata; Mammalia; Rodentia; Bathyergidae.
GUUAGAAGGUGGGGCCUGGGUGGAAGAAGCCAGUCUCUGGAGAUAUGACCUGGUAGGGUGUUUUUCCUCCUGGUUCCUCCCCUCACUCUGCUUUCUGGCCACCAGGGUGUGAGCAGCUUUUCUCUGCCUGUUUCGUCCACUAUGCUGCCAAUUAUGCAAAGACUGAAACUUCUGAAAUCUGAACCAAAAUAAACCUUCCCUUCUGUAAGUUGUGGAUGUAGAGUAUUGUGUCCCAGUGAUGAGAAAUUAGGAGAAGGUUGGCUAUGAAGGCAGAGUGGGACCUUCUUCACUGCAGUCCUCCUACAACUUGGACCAGAGGAUUCCAUCUUCGCUGUUACAGUAUCCAUCUCCACAAGCUACUCUGCCUUAAGUACUGCAUGCCAUCACCUCCCUGCUGGUUUGCUCCUUCUGGUACUACCUAAUUCACAUUCAAGUGUCAAUUUUCUUUCGAGAUGGGUGCUAAGAUAUAAACUGUCUGGUAAGUGAAGCCUCCUUUCUUGAUUUUUGUUUAAAGUAGAUAUUCUAUAUUCUGGCACCCAGGUUCUCAAAGGUAGGAACCAAAAGCUAUGACUUAUGAGGACUGGAGUAUUAUUUUGUUAUCUUCCUGCAUAUAAAGCACCUAGAAAAUAUUUUAUUUUCAUUAAUUCUCACCAAAUGAUAUGAAAUAUUAAACAGUUCAAUCCACAAAGUAGUAGAAGAUAAUUGAAUUGAAUUAUUUAGAUAAGAUCUGAUGUUUGUGAGAGUCAUGAAAUGUAUUUCAAAGAAAAAUUGGGUAUGUAUGAAUAAAAGGAAAGAAACAGAGAAACUAACUAGAAAGGAACUAUGGACAAUUAAUUUCUGUAAACCUAUAUAAUUGCUUAGAUUUUAUUCUCUUUAAACUUCUAAGUACUCUUGAAAAAAAUGGAAAAUGUCUGAAAUUCUUUUCAUAUAUGUCUAAGAAAUAUGGAAAUAUGUGAUUCAUUCUUGUUCUGGAAUUUGAAAGGAUUAAGUAAUAUUUUUUAUGCACCAAAGCGGGGGAAAACAAUUUGUCAGAAAAGAAAUUUACAAUGUACUGUCAUGGACAUUUAUUUAAAAAUGGCUUACCCAUAAAUUAUGUUUUUUGAUGAAACUUUUUCUUAAAUAAUUGACAAUUGUAGUAGAAUUUGUUAGCUUUUUCUGGCUUUUAAUUUCGAAAUAUGUAGUUGUUGAGAGAAAAAUAUAAUAAUUUAAUGCAGAUUAUAUUUUUUUGUUACAGAACAUUCAAAUUGAAAUCAUUGUUAUUGCAAAGCCUUAGUUUUUAGCAUAAAGCUACCAAAAUCUAGGGAUUUUUUUGCCAAAAAAUAUUAGAUAUUUUGUGGAAGUUCCUGUGGAUCUAUAUAACUUAUAUGAGAAUCAAUACAACAAAAGGUUUGUGUUCUCAGCAAAUGAUAUCAGGUGGAUUGUUAAAAAAAAAAUUUUGAUAUUUGAAUUUCUUCAUUAAAUAGUGAUGUAUUUCUUGAAUAAUGCAGGCUAUCUUGGGAGUAUCAUUAGAAAUACAGUUAAAUAAUUUUAAAAUUGUGAUUCAGAAAAUUUAUUUAUUAAUUCCUACAUGUAAUUUUUGUUUAGAGAAACAUCUUAGAAAUAUAUGUUUGAUUAUAUCCUUUAAGAAUACAAGAAGAUAUAGUUUAGGAGUAGAAAUAUCGUAAUACUUACUGUACACAAUUUUUUCUGCUUUUCAACUUUUUAGAGUAAGUCCAAUUUUUUCCCAUAGCAUUUAUGUUUUUAAUAUAAAUUUUGUGAUUGAGACAGUACUAUCUGAUAUCACUAUCGGUAAAUAUGAAAAUUUUGAACAAUUAUAACCAACAUUCUAAGUAUCAAUUGAGAAUAGAUAGAAAUAAAAGUUUCAUAAGCCUUUAAAAUGGCACAUGAAAACCUUGAUAGGUGGGGACAAAUAAAAGAGGGAAAGGAAAGAAAUUAAAUCAAUAGAAAACACAAAAGUUCAAAUGUUAGAGACCAAGUCAGUGUGUGCAAAUAGGAAUAUCUUUGUGUAUCCAAUCUAUCUGUGAAGUGGAAAGUUAGGACACCUGGUUCUGCAUUUGUUUAGACUGUUUUUGUACUUAUUUUAAAAAUAAAAUAGGUAAAACAUGUUGAAGCACCUUUCUUGAAAAUAUUUGGCCAUAUUUCCUGUAACUUUAAAUGGACACUAUCUGAUUGUCAGUCAUGUUAGAAAGAACCCAAGUAUAGGAGACUGCAGAAGAAUGGUAUAAAAGGCUUCUUAAUAUUUAGUGUCCAGAGAACUCAUCAUUAAGUAAUCAGAUAGAUGAAACGGAGCAGCCAUUUCAUGAUUCCUAAGUAGCAGCCUUGAUUUUUGAUUCCCUCGCAUUCCACAUACCUAAUGGACAGUUAUUUCUAGUACUACCAUUUAUAUAUUUCAUUUUACAUGCUUUUAUGGAAUGCCGGUGAAACAUAAAAAUCUAAAUGUUAAAUUAGGAAAAAUAUAAGAAUGUCUUGCCUUUGGUACUACACUAGGAAUGAGAAACAUGUUUUCAAACAUGACUCAAGUAAUUCAUGUCAGUGGGUAAAGGAGUACAUUUAUUUUUAUGUAUAAGCAACUAUUUCCCAAACAGUUACAAUAAAACUCAAGAGUUUUUGGAUCAAAGACUUGCUACUGAACCUAAAAAGUAUUCCCAUGUGUAAUAUAAGAAUUUUUAACACUUUGUUGAGAUAUAUGAACCCUUAUACAUAAGGAAACCAUUUGUCUAAUUUCUUAAAAUUUUCCAGGAACGAACCUCUUGCUAAAAUGUUUUCUUGACAAUUUUGCUUCUUGACAAAAAUAUGAAUUAAAUUUUUUUAACUGGCUUUAUUUCAACUUCAUAUUUUUAUUAAAAAUUAUAACAGGUUAUAAUCUGGGUAUUGAUAUCUACAGUAAAUAAGUAAAAUUUAUUUGUAGGUAAUAUUUUAUAACUAUAUAACCACAUAUCUUGGUAGGAUCUCUGAUGGAUCAGACUGGUUUACUACUUUACUGCAAAUUACAAAUAAUCAAAAUGUAACGCUCCUUAAAAAUAUUUGUUGAUUUAGUAAAUCCAUAGAUUACAAUUUUGAAGAUAAGCCUGAGUAAAUACAGAGUGAUAUUAUAUUAUUACUAUUAAAUUCUCACAUGUGCAAAGCACUUUGGUUUUUGUAAAGGAGCAGUACUGCAUAUGUUAAAGAGCAAGAGCACUGGAUCAAGAAAUAUUAAUUAAAUAUUCUAUCUCAAUUUUGGUGUAAGACCUCACACCUCUAUAUAUAAUAGCUCUAUCAUCUCAAACUACUGAAUGAGUGGAUCCUUGUAAUGUGCUUAGAGAACGUCUGAUUACUUAGUAAGCAUGUGUAUAUAUUAUAAAUUCUUACUACUGUUUAAAUUAAAAAUGUAUUCCAUGCUCACAGAGUUUGUAUUCUAGUAGGAAAAACAGAUGUGACCAAAAUUAGUUCUAAUAUAAAGUGUCAGUUUCAGAAACUUGAAAUAGAAAAAGUAAAAACUGAUGCUUAAUGAGUGAGAAUUUGGGAGUAUUUCAUCAAUGAAGUUGCUCUUUAACUGAGCCUUAGGUAAUGUCAUGUUAUUGUGAAGUUUUUCAUGCACAUUCCAACUUGAGAAACUAGCAAUAUCAGUGUUCUGAUGAAAGUGCAGUAGCUAAGCCUAAAGAAGUGUGAGGAAUCAACAAACAUCAUUAAGUCUUAAAUGGCUUUUAAAAAUUAAUAUGUUAAAUAAUUAUCCUGUUAAAUCAUUCUAUGGCAUUUCCUACUAACCUUUACUCUUUCACAAUGCAUUAAAGUAAAGUCACUGUUGUUGGCAGUAAGCCUCGGACUCAAUUUGUCAGUCCAGAAAUAAAGCACUCUGACACCAAUAAAGUUCAACAAGGUAAGUUUACUUCUGCAGAAGGGUGUGUUACACCUCUAAGAUGAGGUAGCAAGCACACAGAGACUUAGUUGCAGGCUCCUUUUAUAUCUUAACUUGUGAGAAGCCCCUGACCUUCGCCCCAUUGGCUGGUUGGAAGGUUCACAAUCUAUCCUGAUUGACUAGUUGAGGUAAAGGGAUGGCUUGAUGGGUUGUUGGGCAGGGUUCCUCAUGGGGCUUUUUGGGGAGGGGAACUGAAUGGAGUAACAUUCUUUUGUAACUGUAACCCCUACAACCCUGGUGAUAGGGUUAGGGCAGAGCAGCCUAAGGUGAACUAGAGUUUAAGGUGGAGGUGCUGCUGUUUAUAUCUUUUUAUAGAAAAGAUAGGGACACAGUUUCUCAUGCUGUCAAUGGCCAACCUACCUCUCCACAUUUAUCUUAACAAUAUUCUCACCUACCAUUCCUAGUUUGCUUCUAUACUCCAUCUUUUUCUUCUCUCUUUUUUUCCAAAUAUCUCUAUGAUUUUGUACAUUUAUUUCUUUCUCAAAGGUUCUUAGAACUAAUCCUACACUUGAAAAAUUCCAACUCUCUAUUAACUGUUUUGAUUAAAUUUUAUUUCCUUUGUAGAAUUUUAACCUUUUUAAAUUUAACUUUAACUUUAUCAUUUCAUGUUUGGCAGGUAGACAUCAUCUACACACACACACACACACACACACACACACACAUACACACUCUACAAACCUAAAUUAGUUAAACUACUUAGAUUAAAUUCUCAAUUUCUUCAGUCAGGGAUAGUGAAUCUUAUUAGAGAUGAGUUUAGCCACUCAGAGCUGUAAUAGAUGCAGCUUAUCUCAGUGUGGCCCCCAAACCCUGAGGGGUGAGUGCUUGCAUGUAGCUGCCUGUGAUACCUGUCAUAUACAGCACAGACUUGACUUAAGACUCUUAAUUUCCUACUGGCCUAUCAUCUUUCAUAAUUGAUGUUUUCAUUAUUAUCCAUGAAAAACUAUGCUUAUAAUCUAUAUGCUUCCGUUUAAGGAAAAUAUUGAUUCCUCUCUUAUGAACUGAUCUCAGUAAUAGGGAAAUGGCUUCUUCAACUACAGAAAGGAAGAAAAUAGUUCUGGGUAAUACUUGCAUUGAAACUUCCAGUGCUGCCAAAAUGUUAUUUUUCAAGUGACCCAUAGUAAAUAAAGUCUCUUUACUAGAAGAGGAAGGAACUUUCUAAGUUACCACUUGCUUUCUACUAUGAGUUAGUCUCCAGUCUGGAAAGUGGGGGCAGUAGGUAAGAUAAAUACUUGUCUUUCAGAAGGCAGUGUUACAGUAGACAACACAGAUCCAUAGCCAAAUAAUUUGAAUGAUAAUUUGUGUCACUAUAGCUGCAAGUACUGAGUGCUAUGGAAGCAUGUAAAAAAGGUAGCUAAUUCAUUGUUUGGGAAAGACAGCUGUCUUGAAAAACAUGACAUCUAGUAUUGGCAUGAAUUAACUAAGCAAAAAAAAAAAAAUGAAAAGGACAUUCCUAAUAGAUGAGGUACUAUGCAAAAAGACCUUUAAGUGAAAGUAUAAUACAGUGCUAGUUCAGCUGAUGUUUAUGAUGAGUUAUUCACUAUGUUCAGAUAACUCUGCUGGGUGUUACAUGUAAAGCAAAUAUCUUGAUUCACUGAAAAUAUUCUAAAUAUCUGUGUGUGUGUGUGUGUGUUAGAAGGAUGGUGGAUAGAAAGAUAGACAGGGAGAGAGUUAAACGAAUUCAAUGAAGACUCCUCAGGCUCCAAAUCCUUAAGGAUAAUUCACAGUUCUGUUUUUUGGCUUUCACAAUCUGCACAUUUCGGAAAACUUUCAUUUAAGGAAUGACAUUUUUAUUGGUGACAUUUGAAUGAUUAUUGUAUUGACUUAUAGCACAUUGACUUAUGUGAAAUGCUUUUUUAGGCUCUCCAUAAAUGCAUGUUGACUGCCUGACUUUCACAAACAUUUAAGAUAAGAAUGAUAUAUAUAGUAAGGGCAUUUUGCCAACAGGGAGCUAACUGGGUGCCACAAUAUGUAUACAAUCUAAAUCAUGAGGACAUGAAUGUCUUGUGACUGCUUGCAGGAAGCACACAGAUGCACUUUGCCAAGCAACAGAUUCACUUUUCUGCUGCUUAUUGCUGAGAAAAAAGCUUCAGGCAAGACCAAACAAACUAUUCUUGAAAAAUGACAGUAGAGUAAAUCCAUAGUAAGUUUUUUGUAUUUCUAUGGUGUCAUAGAGUGUGCAUGAAGUAGUGUCUACAUAUUGCAGACAUAGUAAAUAACAGUGUAUUUUAGAAUCAUAGUAGAUAACAAAGUACACUUUGGAAUCAGACUAUCCUUCAUGGACUUGAAACUCAGCUUUUAGAGUAGCCAUUUUUGUGGCUUUGUGUAUAUCUUUUAAUUUCUUUAAGAAUUACAUUACACAGUAGGUCAGGCAAUAUGCCCUACCCAAGAUGUCCACAUUCUAAUGUUUCAAACCUCUGGAUCUGUUGCUUUUCAUGCAAAAUGGGACAUUGCAUAUGCAUAUGUGACUAAGCUAAUGGUCUUGAAAUGUAACAAACAUCUUGAUUAUCUGGAUAGGACCAAUGUAAUUACAAUGGUCCUUAUAAAUGAAAAAUUGGAGAGUCAUCAUCAGAGAAAUGACAGCAGAGGUUAAAGAUAUGCAGAGCCACGAGCCCAAAGAAUGUGGGCAGCCUCUAGAAUAUGGAAUAUCCAAGGAAAUGGUUACAACUUUACCAUCAUAAAAUAAUCAUAAAAAGCCCUCCAUUAAAGGAUUAUUGUGAAGAUGAAUACAAAAAUUUAUCAGUAAGAUAGACUGUCAGCUUUAGAAAACCAAAUCUCAAGUAUACCUCUAGGAGAUGAAAGCUUUCCUUAUCAGGACAAAUUAACUUUUCAGUCUAUGCUUUCACAAUGCAGUUGAUAUAUUUUGGAUUAAGUAUAACAUUUCAUAAUGUAGACAGUAAUUUUACUUCCAUGGAAGGACAAUAGAACUAGCAGAAUUUAUUUGCUCAGAUAAGAAAGGAAAGAAGGCAUCAUUUAUUGAAAGCCUGGUAAGGGUCGACAUAUAAUUCAAUUUCUCACACAUUAUUUUCACCAACUUAAAAGAGGUGUGAUUUUCCCCAAUUUUAUGUGGUAACCUCACAAAAAUGUUAAGCAAUUUACCUGAAAUUCUACACUUAAUAUACAAUAGAACUAUUGAAGUGAAAGUAAGCCAAUUGUCUGAAGACAGACACAGAACAGAUUCAAGAGUGGGUCUUACCUUAUCGGAUCUUCUUGUCCUCUGUUCCUUCUCCUUUACACCUUGAAUCUAUUCUGAAGCUUAUAUCUUACCAGCCUGGCAUCACCCAUAGGAAGAAUACAUCCCUUUUCUAAUCAUUCUGUCCAAGGUCCUGAACUGGUGCUUGUUAGCCUGGUCUGGAUCAUGGACCAGAAUGAUGAGGAGAAGGUGAAACAGAUGAUUAAAUAAAUGUGAAUCAGUGAUUUAGCUAGAGAAUCAAGAAUUACAGAUUCAUUAUUGAAAUGUAUAAAUGGCCAGAGAUUUUUUUAAUGCUAGAUAUAAAAAUCUUGGUAUUUGAGAUAAUACAUCAGAAGGAAAAAUAGCAAAACCUUAGACAGAUUUUGCACUAAUAAUAAUAGAAGAAGAAGUUUGUCUCCUUGAUUCGUUAAACAGAAACCAGUAAUCAGGACCGUGGAGAAAAAUCUAACUUUCUCUCCUACUUUGUAGUUGAAACAAGGUAAGAGAGGAGACAUGAAUUUUUCAAGUUCAUACACCCAAUGCCACAUCAAUGUUAUUUAUCUGUUUAUUUUGGCUUGUAAAUCUGCCUUCAUUUCUUGAUUAUAACUGCCAAUAUAUGUUUGCUCAGCUUCCCUGGGGGCAGUCGGUUUUCACUGUAAAAUGAUUAAACCUUAUUAAACCAGAUUUAGUUCCCCAAGGUCUCUCUUACCAUUUGUUUGUCUUUUUCUCUGAGUUAAACCACUUCUUCCCAGUCAAAUCUUGAGAAUCAUCUUUGGUUUAAGUCUUCCUCACUUAGAAUUCAUGGAAUCGUGUGAAGAUUUUUUUUUUCUCAAAUUCCACAUUCUUCCUAAGUGUUUGGCUGAAUCGCAGUCUAAACAAUAAUUUGUAUCCAUUCAUUCAACCAGUUUUUGCUUAAUACUUCCUAUGUUGCAGGGACUAUUCCAGGUUCUGGAGAAAUGAUGAUAAAUAAGACAGUUCAAGAUUCUGAGAUUUAAACAGUCAGGGAAAGAGGAAAUAAAACUAACCAUUCAUGAGAGCUAUGAAGGAAGCAAGAGGAGGAUAUAAUGGGAGCAAGAGGAAGGGCAGUAGAGUAGUUUUGCAUCAGGAAAGGCUACAGAAUUGUUGGGGAAAAGUGUAGGACUACUUCAGAUGUAAAUCAAUCUCUAACUUUAAAGGAUAUCAGAAAAAAAUAUAUAAGAAUAUGAUAGGAGAAUUAUUUAUACUGAAACAUUUUUAAAAACUACUUGAUUAAAAAGUCAACUAAAAUACAAUAUGCCUGUAGAAUAGAAUGGUAUUUGGGAAGAUUUGGUUAUGCAGAGUGGAGAGAGGAGAGAAAAGACUGGAGGGAUUAGUAGGAGGUAUGAGGAAAAAAUCUGGGAAGCCAAGUGAGGGAGUUGUAUUACUGGGAAUGUGCACAGUCAUUACAGGGACUUAAGCAGAAGAAGUACAUACUCAUACUUCAGGUUUAACAAUAACUAUCUCUGAUGCAGAGUGAAACAGAGAAUGAUGAGCCUAUAGUGAGAAAACUAAACAGGAAGCUAUUUACUUUAAUUAUGAU